Molecule: long non-coding RNA, 6235 nt
Filed under: Salvia miltiorrhiza (redroot sage)
Lineage: Eukaryota; Viridiplantae; Streptophyta; Magnoliopsida; Lamiales; Lamiaceae
Description: long non-coding RNA (SMIL_LNC005898)
Source: RNAcentral
CCCUACCUUAAGCCCUACUUUGAUAAAAUUAAAACUUAAUUUUUAUCUCAUGUCAUAGGGUGGGGCAGAAAACAAUAUCACGUCUAUGUACAAACAAAAAUUGUUGAAAUGACAAAAGAUAACCAAACAUCAAACCAGAAGUGUCAUCCAGUUAAGAACCACCCCACGAUCAGACAUCUGGAAAUUGAAGAGUAUAUCUAUAAGCACGGGAAACUCUAGGUAGAAGAGAAAAUGUAUAGAAAUAAAAAUACUAUUAUGUACUCCCUUUGCCACCCUCGAUUAACACAAUAUCAAUGACUCAUCAAAGAUCUGUCCGCGUCCAAAAACCAGACCAAGAUAGCCCCCACAUUAAGCUCCUACAGUGAUGGAAUCAAAACCUAUUUUGUAUCUCCUGUCACAGGGUAGGCCCAAAACAAUAUCCAAGUCUAUAUAACAACAAAAGAAUAUAAUAGAGAGAUCAAAUGCAACCAAUUAUGAACCCAGAACUGCCUUCCAGUUAAGCUUGAUUAAGAACCAAACAACGAUCAGGCAUCUGGAAAUCGAAGAGAAUAACAAUAAGCACGGGAAAGUCAAGAUGGAAGAUAAAUUGUAGCAGAAUUAAUACAAUACUAUACUCCCUCUGACACCCUCGAUAAACAUUAUAUCAGUGACAGCAUCAAAAGUUGAUGUCUCCAGUAACUAGACCAAGAUUAGCCCCACCAUAAGCUGCUUCUUUCACAACUUAAUUUUUAACUCCUGUCACAAGGUGAGGCAGAAAACAAUAUCCACGUCUACGUAACAAAUAAAAGAUUGUUGAAACUGACAAAAGAUAACCAAGCAUACCAGAAGUGCCUUCCAGUUAAGAACCACACAACAAUCAGACAUCUGGAAAUUGAAGAGUAUAACUAUUAGCACGGGAAACUCUAGGUAGAAGAGAAAAUGUAGGUAGAAAAAAAAUACUAUUAGUACUCCCUUUACCACCCACUAUUAACACUAUAUCAAUGACAGCAUGAAGGAUUUGUCAGUGUCCAAAAACCAGACCAAGACAGCCCCCACCUUAAGCUCCUACUUGAUAGAAUCAGAACCUAUUUUGUAUCUCCUAUCACAGGGUGAGGCUGAAACCAACAUCCGAGUCUAAAUAACAACAAAAGAACUACAAUAGAGAGAGCAAAGGUAACCAACUAUCAAACCCGAACUGCCGUCCAGUUAAGCUUGAUUAAGAACCACACAACGAUCGGGCAUCUGGAAAUGAAGAGAAUAACGAUAAGCACCGGAAGGUCUAGAUGGAAGAUAAAUUGUAUAGAAGAAAUACUAUACUAUACUCCCUCUGCCACCCUCGAUAAACACACUAUAUAGUGACCACGUCAAAGGAUUGACUUGUGUGCAAUAACUUGACUAAGAUUAGCCCUACCUUAAGCUCCUACUUGAUAAAAUUAAAACUUAAUUUUUAUCUCAUGUCAUAGGGUGGGGCAGAAAACAAUAUCCACGUCUAUGUAGCAAACAAAAUUGUUGAACUGACAAAAGAUAACCAAACAUCAAACAGAAGUGUCUCCAGUUAAGAACCACCCCACGAUCAGACAUCUGGAAAUUGAAGAGUAUAUCUAUAAGCACGGGAAACUCGAGGUAGAAGAGAAAAUGUAGUAGAAUAAAAAUACUAUUAUGUACUCCCUUUGCCACCCUCGAUUAACACAAUAUCAAUGACUACAUCAAAGAUCUGUCGCGUCCAAAAACCAGACCAAGAUAGCCCCCACAUUAAGCUCCUACAGUGAUGGAAUCAAAACCUAUUUUGUAUCUCCUGUCACAGGGUAGGCUCAAAACAAUAUCCAAGUCUAUAUAACAACAAAAGAAAUAUAAUAGAGAGAUCAAAUGCAACCAAUUAUGAACCCAGAACUGCCUUCCAGUUAAGCUUGAUUAAGAACCAAACAACGAUCAGGCAUCUGGAAAUCGAAGAGAAUAACAAUAAGCACGGGAAAGUCAAGAUGGAAGAUAAAUUGUAGCAGAAUUAAUACAAUACUAUACUCCCUCUGACACCCUCGAUAAACAUUAUAUCAGUGACAGCAUCAAAAGUUGAUAGUCUCCAUAACUAGACCAAGAUUAGCCCCACCAUAAGUGCUUCUUUCACAACUUAAUUUUUAACCCCUGUCACAAGGUGAGGCAGAAAACAAUAUCCACGUCUACGUAACAAAUAAAAGAUUGUUGAAACUGACAAAAGAUAACCAAGCAUACCAGAAGUGCCUUCCAGUUAAGAACCACACAACAUCAGACAUCUGGAAAUUGAAGAGUAUAUCUAUAGCACGGGAAAUUCUAGGUAGAAGAGAAAAUGUAGUAGAAAAAAAAUACUAUUAUGUACUCCCUUUCCACCCCGAUUAAACAUAUCAAUGACCAUAAGAUUGUCGGUCCAAAAACCAGACCAAGACAGCCCCCACCUUAAGCUCCUACUUUGAUAGAAUCAGAACCUAUUUUGUAUCUCCUAUCACAGGGUGAGGCUGAAACCAACAUCGAGUCUAAAUAACAACAAAAGAACUACAAUAGAGAAAGCAAAGGUAACCAACUAUCAAACCCGAACUGCCGUCCAGUUAAGCUUGAUUAAGAACCACACAACGAUCGGGCAUCUGGAAAUGGAAGAGAAUAACGAUAAGCACCGGAAGGUCUAGAUGGAAGAUAAAUUGUAUUAGAAGAAAUACUAUCUAUACUCCCUCUGCCACCCUCGAUAAACACACUAUAUCAGUGACCACGUCAAAGGAUUGACUUGUGUGCAAUAACUUGACUAAGAUUAGCCCUACUUAAGCUCCUACUUUGAUAAAAUUAAAACUUAAUUUUUAUCUCAUGUCAUAGGGUGGGGCAGAAAACAAUAUCCACGUCUAUGUACAAACAAAAUUGUUGAAAUGACAAAAGAUAACCAAACAUCAAACCAGAAGUGUCUCCAGUUAAGAACCACCCAGAUCAGACAUACUGGAAAUUGAAGGUAUAUCUAUAAGACACGGAAAUUGGUAGAAGAGAAAAUUAAGUAGAAUAAAAACUAUUAUGUACUCCCUUUGCCACCCUCGAUUAACACAAUAUCAAUGACUCAUCAAAGAUCUGUCCGCGUACCAAAAACCAGACCAAGAUACCCCACAUUAAGCUCCUACAGUGAUGGAAUCAAAACCUAUUUUGUAUCUCCUGUCACAGGGUAGGCCCAAAACAAUAUCCAAGUCUAUAUAACAACAAAAGAUAUAUAAUAGAGAGAUCAAAUGCAACCAAUUAUGAACCCAGAACUGCCUUCCAGUUAAGCUUGAUUAAGAACCAAACAACGAUCAGGCAUCUGGAAAUCGAAGAGAAUAACAAUAAGCACGGGAAAGUCAAGAUGGAAGAUAAAUUAUAGCAGAAUUAAUACAAUACUAUACUCCCUCUGACACCCUCGAUAAACAUUAUAUCAGUGACAGCAUCAAAAGUUGAUAGUCUCCAUAACUAGACCAAGAUUAGCCCCACCAUAAGUGCUUCUUUCACAACUUAAUUUUUAACCCCUGUCACAAGGUGAGGCAGAAAACAAUAUCCACGUCUACGUAACAAAUAAAAGAUUGUUGAAACUGACAAAAGAUAACCAAGCAUACCAGAAGUGCCUUCCAGUUAAGAACCACCCCACAUCAGACAUCUGGAAAUUGAAGAGUAAAAUUAUAAGCACGGGAAACUCUAGCUAGAAGAGAAAAUGUAGUAGGAAAAAAUAACUAUUAUGUACUCCCUUUGCAACCCUCGAUUAACAACAUAUUAAUUGACAAUAUCAAAGAUUUUUCCGUGUCCAAAAACCAGACCAAGAUAGCCCCCACAUUAAGCUCCUAUUGCGAUGGUAUCAAAACCUAUUUUGUAUCUCCUGUCAUAGGGUGAGGGCCAAAUCAAUAUCCAAGUCUACAUAACAACAAAAUAACUAUAAUAGAAAGAGCAAGGGUAACCAAUUAUCAAACCAGAACUGCCUUCCAUUUAAGCUUGAUUAAAAACCACACAACAAUCAAGCAUCUGGAAAUUGAAGAGAAUAAAGAUAAGUAUGAGAAAGUCUAGGUGGAAGAUAAAUUUUAGUAGAAAAAAUUACUAUAAAAUACUCCCUCUGCUACCCUGGAUAAAACCUAUAUCAGAGACAGCGUGAAAGGUUUGAUCUGUGUCCAAUAACUUGACCAAGAUUAGCCCCACCUUAUGCUCCCUACUUUGAUAAAAUCAAAACUUAAAUUUUAUCUCCUGCCAUAGGAUGAGGAGAAAACAAUAUCCACGUCUACGUAGCAAACAAAAAACUGAUGAAAAAGAGAACCAAGCAUCAAACCAGAAGUGUCUUCAAGUUAAGAACCACACAACGACCAGACACCUGGGAUUGAAGAGUAUAACGAUGGAGAGUAUAACGAUAAGAACCAGAAACUCUGGGUAGAAUAGAAUAUGUAGAAGAUAAAAUACUAUUCUGUUCUCCAUCUGCCUCCCUCAAUAAACACUAUAUCAAUGCCGGCAUCAUAGAUUAGUCCAUGUCCAAAAACCCAACCAAGAUAGCCCCAACUUAGAGCUCCUACUUUGAUAGAAUUAAAACCUAUUUUGUAUCUCCUGUAACAGGGUGAGGCCCAAAACAAUAUCCAAGUCAACAUAACAACACAAAAACUACAUUUACAGAGCAAACGUAACCAAUUAUCAAACCAGCCUUCCCGUGAAGCUUGAUUAAGAACCACACAGAGAUCAGGCAUCUGCAAAUUGAUGAGAACAACAGUAAGCACGCGAUAGUCUAGGGAGAAGAUAAAAUGUUGUAAAAAAAAAUACUAUUCGAUACUCCCUCUGCCACACUCGAUAUUAACAGCGUCAAAGGUUUAUCUUCCGAUAACCAGAUUAGCCCCACCUUAAGCUCCUUCUUUUAAUACUUAAUUUUUAUCUCCUGUCAUAGGGUGAGGCAGAAAACAAUAUCCACGUCUACGUAACAAACAAAAAAUUGUUGAAACUGACAAAAGAUAACCAAGCAUCAAACCAGAAGUGCCUUCCAGUUAAGAACCACUGAACCACACAACGAAUCAUCAGACAUCUGGAGAUUGAAGAGUAUAACUAUAAGCACGGGAAACUUUAGGUAGAAGAGAAAAUGUAGUAGAAAAAAAAUACUACUCCAUGUACUCUUCCUAUUGCCACCCUUGAUUAACAAUAUACCAAUGACAGCAUCAAAGAUUUUUCCGUGCCAAAAACCAGACCAAGAUAGCCCCCACAUUAAGCUCCUAUUGUGAUAGAAUCAAAACCUAUUUUGUAUCUCCUGUCACAGAGUGAGGCCCAAAACAAUAUCGAGUCUACAUAACAACAAAAGAACUAAAAUAAAGAGAGCAAAGGUAACCAAUUAUCAAACCAGAACAGCCUUCCAGUGAAGCUAGAUUAAGAAGCUCAGAGCGAUCAAGCAUCUGAAAAUUGAUGAGAACGGUAAGCAAGGGCAAGUCUAGGUAGAGGAUAAAAUGUUGUAAAAAAAUUACUAUACUAUACUUCCUCUGCAACCCUUGAUAAAAACACAAUAUCAAUUUGUCAGCGUCAAAUGUUGGUCCGUGGCCAACAACCAGACCAAGAUUAGCACCACCAUAAGUUCCUAAUUUGAUAGAAUCAAAACAUAAUUUUUAUCUCCUGUCAUAGGGUGAGGCAGAAAACAUAAAUUCAUCAUGAUGAUCUUGAGGCUCCUCACCAGCGAUUAAUCUGUGGCCAGAGAAGAGAACAAUUGAGUAAAUUCAUAACUAUCAGCGUUUCCACCAACUGCCGAUAACCAUCAAACUAUCAGCGCGAAAGGAAAAGGACAAAAUAAACCUUCUGGCUUGAGAGAUCACGAGCUAUCCAAUCGGUUGCCCUACAGAUACAAACGAAAGUAAGCCCCGAUAACCAAUACGGCAGAGGAAAUCAUGAUCUAAAUAGACCGUCAAAACUUGAACUAUAAAAUCUGCACUCGUUGCGAAUAACUGAAUAUUAACCCAAAUCAGCAGAAGGAAUCACAAUAACCGAUCUACACAAAUCAAAUACGUCAAAGUAGAUUGAACAGAAAUCCUCCGCUAGGUCAUCUAUCCUCGCCGCCAUAUGUCAUACCAGACAGGGAAGGCUAAUGGAAAUCGCAACACAAGGAGAGAGUAACCCGAUCGAAAACACAAAACUUAAUCGCCAACGAAAUCGCACCACAAAACACAAUAACCCUAGAUAUGAAUUCAGGAGAAGAGGGCCACAAUAGAAGAAAAAUAAUAGCGAAACACGCAAAGAGGGGGGAUGGGUAGGAGAAUGUGGGGAGAUAUGGUAUAUA